AUCCAGCUGACGAGUCCAAAACUGAACGAAACGCUCCUCUUGGAU
RNAcentral lists this non-coding RNA (45 nucleotides) under Schistosoma mansoni. Lineage: Eukaryota; Metazoa; Platyhelminthes; Trematoda; Strigeidida; Schistosomatidae. The record is from RNAcentral.